RNAcentral lists this ribosomal RNA (253 nucleotides) under uncultured bacterium. Its description in RNAcentral is "partial 16S ribosomal RNA". It matches the Rfam family "Bacterial small subunit ribosomal RNA", at positions 524 to 776 of the family's 1533-position model. The record is from RNAcentral.
UACAGAGGUCUCAAGCGUUGUUCGGAUUCAUUGGGCGUAAAGGGUGCGUAGGUGGCGCCGUAAGUCAGGUGUGAAAUUUCGGAGCUUAACUCCGAAACUGCAUUUGGUACUGCGGUGCUUGAGGACUGGAGAGGAGACUGGAAUUCACGGUGUAGCAGUGAAAUGCGUAGAUAUCAGGAGGAACACCUAUUGCGAAGGCAGCUCGCUGGGACGUAACUGACGCUGAGACGCGAAAGCGUGGGGAGCAAACAGG